Molecule: unclassified non-coding RNA, 366 nt
Filed under: fungal sp.
Lineage: Eukaryota; Fungi
Description: partial internal transcribed spacer region
Rfam family: Eukaryotic small subunit ribosomal RNA (bases 1-46)
Source: RNAcentral
AAGUCGUAACAAGGUUUCCGUAGGUGAACCUGCGGAAGGAUCAUUAACACGUAUCCAAACGUAAAAAACCCCCCCCGUGAACAUUCAAUCCUGCUCUUGUAACCCGCGUAGUUCGCAAUCUCUGGUAAAUCAUAGCCCGGAAAGUAGUUUGAUUCAGAGACCUCUGGCUACGUGAGAACAUUGGAACAGUUACAAUCGAGCGGUAGUUUCAUCGCUUCAACGAUUCCUGUCGACCGUACACUCGGGCAGGAGCUAUGCCAAAGGGUCCCCAUGCCCCCUUAUAACCCCACAGUUUAAUGUGAAGCUCAAUGUAAUACAUUGGGUAAAAAAACCGAACAACUGUUAACAAUGGAUAUCUUGGUUCUC